Molecule: ribosomal RNA, 484 nt
Filed under: uncultured bacterium
Lineage: Bacteria
Description: bacterial SSU rRNA
Rfam family: Bacterial small subunit ribosomal RNA
Source: RNAcentral
GACGAACGCUGGCGGCGUGCUUAACACAUGCAAGUCGAACGAGGUCCAUGGAGCUUGCUCCGGAAGACCUAGUGGCGAACGGGUGCGUAACACGUGAGAAACCUGCCCCAGACUUGGGAAUAACAGUCGGAAACGACUGCUAAUACCGAAUACCUUCACACCGUCGCAUGGCGGAGUGAAGAAAGCUCCGGCGGUUUGGGAGGGUCUCGCGGCCUAUCAGCUUGUUGGUGAGGUAACGGCUCACCAAGGCAUCGACGGGUAGCUGGUCUGAGAGGAUGAUCAGCCACACUGGAACUGAGACACGGUCCAGACUCCUACGGGAGGCAGCAGUGGGGAAUAUUGCACAAUGGGCGCAAGCCUGAUGCAGCAACGCCGCGUGCGGGAAGAAGGCCCUAGGGUUGUAAACCGCUUUCAGCAGGGAAGAAAAUGACGGUACCUGCAGAAGAAGGUGCGGCCAACUACGUGCCAGCCGCCGCCGUAAAAC